AUACGGAGGGUGCAAGCGUUGUUCGGAAUUAUUGGGCGUAAAGAGCAUGUAGGCGGACUGUUAAGUCUGGUGUGAAAGCCCGGGGCUCAACCCCGGAAGUGCAUUGGAUACUGGCAGUCUUGAGUAUGGGAGAGGAAAGUGGAAUUCCGAGUGUAGGAGUGAAAUCCGUAGAUAUUCGGAGGAACACCAGUGGCGAAGGCGGCUUUCUGGACCAAUACUGACGCUGAGAUGCGAAAGCGUGGGGAGCGAACAGGAUUAGAAACCCUAGUAGUCC
This 274-nucleotide ribosomal RNA is filed under the name uncultured bacterium. Its description in RNAcentral is "partial 16S ribosomal RNA". It matches the Rfam family "Bacterial small subunit ribosomal RNA", at positions 523 to 796 of the family's 1533-position model. The record is from RNAcentral.